AUAUGGCCCUUCUGCUCUGUGUGGUUUUCCUCUCCAAAUGCACAACCCUGUUCUGAUCAUGAGAAAAACAGCAGACAGAUCCUGAUUGAGGGACAUUCUAUAAAUACAUGACGAAUGCUUCUCAAAACUGUCAGGGUGAUCAAAACAGGGAAAGUCUGCAAAACCAUCCCAGCCCAGAGGAGACCAAGGACACGUGAGGAUUCAAUGUAACGUGGUGUCCUGGGUGGGAUCCUGGAACAGCAAGAGGACAUUAGCAACAACUGAGGAAAUCCUGAUAAAGCAUGGACUGUAUAUAGUUCAUAAGAGCGCGUGAGUGUUGGUUGGUUACCUGUGGCCAGUCCCCAUGGUAGGUGUUCAUAAUCGGAGAAGGGGACGUGAAUCUGUACAACAUUCUGAACCAUACUCAGAGCCUCCGAGUUACAAGUCUCUUAAAAUUCAAAGGUUGUUAAGAAGAUUUUCGAGGGUGGCCAUGAGACAACUUAUUUUCACUAAGGAACACAUUAAAAACCUCACCCAGACAUUACCUGCGACCCUCAACUGUUUCAGAAAAGGAAGGAUGUUCACUACAGUGGGAAGGCCUCUUGUCUCCAAAGAAAGAAUGAGAGUGGACAGGGAGUGAGCCCAGGUUAGCAAAGAAUUGAGACUCCUCAUUUUUCUCAUCUUGCCAAGGACCCUUGAGAAGUUGAGGGCUGUCAUCCGCCCUGGAGCACGAGGGCAGAGUGAGAGAUGGUUAAUAAUGACCAUGACGGAGAACAGCAGCCACCCAACAAAAGCAGGGGGCCGUACGAUCUGUCUGCAAGGCAAGUGCUCAGGCUGACACAUAGGAAGCUCUCAAUCAACAGGAGUUAACAAGAAAACAUGCCAAGUGGCAAAACAGGACUGUCCAUCACCAGAUGAAUGGAUAAAUACAGUGUGGCCCAUCCA
This is a long non-coding RNA of Canis lupus familiaris (dog), 924 nucleotides long. RefSeq lists it as uncharacterized. The transcript is spliced from 2 exons. The record is from RefSeq and is a predicted model, not a curated record. Lineage: Eukaryota; Metazoa; Chordata; Mammalia; Carnivora; Canidae.